Molecule: microRNA precursor, 74 nt
Filed under: Otolemur garnettii (small-eared galago)
Lineage: Eukaryota; Metazoa; Chordata; Mammalia; Primates; Galagidae
Description: miRNA (ENSOGAG00000021273.1)
Source: RNAcentral
UUUGUCUGCCUGUGCCUGUGUGUUUGUAGACCUGAGUGUACACACACACACACACACACACACAUUUUAUAAAC